RNAcentral lists this ribosomal RNA (397 nucleotides) under uncultured bacterium. RNAcentral describes it as "partial 16S ribosomal RNA". It matches the Rfam family "Bacterial small subunit ribosomal RNA", at positions 523 to 918 of the family's 1533-position model. The record is from RNAcentral.
GUACGUAGGGGGCGAGCGUUGUCCGGAAUGAUUGGGCGUAAAGGGCGCGUAGGCGGCCCGGUAAGUCUGGAGUGAAAGUCCUGUUUUUAAGAUGGGAAUUGCUUUGGAUACUGUCGGGCUUGAGUGCAGGAGAGGUAAGUGGAAUUCCCAGUGUAGCGGUGAAAUGCGUAGAGAUUGGGAGGAACACCAGUGGCGAAGGCGACUUACUGGACUGUAACUGACGCUGAGGCGCGAAAGUGUGGGGAGCAAACAGGAUUAGAUACCCUGGUAGUCCACACUGUAAACGAUGAAUGCUAGGUGUAGGGGGUAUCGACCCCUUCUGUGCCGCAGUCAACACAAUAAGCAUUCCGCCUGGGGAGUACGGCCGCAAGGUUGAAACUCAAAGGAAUUGACGGGG